GACGAACGCUGGCGGCGUGCUUAACACAUGCAAGUCGAGCGGUAAGGCCCUUUCGGGGGUACGACGAGCGGCGAACGGGUGAGUAACACGUGGGUGACCUGCCCUUAGCUCUGGGAUAAGCCUGGGAAACUGGGUCUAAUACCGGAUAUGACUCCAUGACGCAUGUUGUGGGGUGGAAAGCCUUGUGCGGCUAGGGAUGGGCCCGCGGCCUAUCAGCUUGUUGGGUGGGGUGAUGGCCUACCAAGGCGACGACGGGUAGCCGGCCUGAGAGGGCGACCGGCCACACUGGGACUGAGACACGGCCCAGACUCCUACGGGAGGGCAGCAGUGGGGGAAUCUUGCGCAAUGGGGCGAAAGCCUGACGCAGCGACGCCGCGUGAGGGAUGACGGCCU
Molecule: ribosomal RNA, 393 nt
Filed under: uncultured bacterium
Lineage: Bacteria
Description: bacterial SSU rRNA
Rfam family: Bacterial small subunit ribosomal RNA
Source: RNAcentral